Molecule: ribosomal RNA, 234 nt
Filed under: Clostridioides sp. ZZV15-6383
Lineage: Bacteria; Bacillati; Bacillota; Clostridia; Peptostreptococcales; Peptostreptococcaceae
Description: partial 16S ribosomal RNA
Rfam family: Bacterial small subunit ribosomal RNA
Source: RNAcentral
UUCGGGUCGUAAAACUCUGUCCUCAAGGAAGAUAAUGACGGUACUUGAGGAGGAAGCCCCGGCUAACUACGUGCCAGCAGCCGCGGUAAUACGUAGGGGGCUAGCGUUAUCCGGAUUUACUGGGCGUAAAGGGUGCGUAGGCGGUCUUUCAAGUCAGGAGUGAAAGGCUACGGCUCAACCGUAGUAAGCUCUUGAAACUGGGAGACUUGAGUGCAGGAGAGGAGAGUGGAAUUC